UGGGGAAUUUUGGACAAUGGGGGCAACCCUGAUCCAGCCAUGCCGCGUGCGGGAAGAAGGCCUUCGGGUUGUAAACCGCUUUUAGCCGGGAAGAAAAGGCAAGGGUCAACACCUCUUGUUCUUGACGGUACCGGCGGAAUAAGCACCGGCUAACUACGUGCCAGCAGCCGCGGUAAUACGUAGGGUGCGAGCGUUAAUCGGAAUUACUGGGCGUAAAGCGUGCGCAGGCGGUUCGUCGAGUCUGAUGUGAAAGCCCCGGGCUCAACCUGGGAACGGCAUUGGAUACUGGCGGGCUGGAGUGUGGCAGAGGGGGUGGAAUUCCGCGUGUAGCAGUGAAAUGCGUAGAGAUGCGGAGGAACACCGAUGGCGAAGGCAGCCCCCUGGGCUGACACUGACGCUCAG
This 402-nucleotide ribosomal RNA is filed under the name uncultured bacterium. Its description in RNAcentral is "bacterial SSU rRNA". It matches the Rfam family "Bacterial small subunit ribosomal RNA", at positions 355 to 750 of the family's 1533-position model. The record is from RNAcentral.